Molecule: long non-coding RNA, 1122 nt
Organism: Vidua macroura (Pin-tailed whydah)
Lineage: Eukaryota; Metazoa; Chordata; Aves; Passeriformes; Viduidae
Exons: 2
Source: RefSeq, a predicted model, not a curated record
UCCCUGGAAUCCCUCUGGGCACCCCUAGCAGAGGAUACAGAGAAUGUGGCAAAGCUCCAGGGGCUGGGGGCUGGGGCUCUAGGCAGCAGGACCUUCCCUUGACCCAUGGGUAUCUCUGUCAAACACUCCCUGCUUUUGGGGGGAAAUCUCUUCAGCUUUAGACGCUUGUGACCCCAAAGGAAGCCAAAGACGUGACCCUUUAUUCUGAUAAAGCAGAUGAUGGGCAGUUCCUCAGCCCAUGGAAAAAAAACCCUGACCAAUUGUUUUGACCUAAGCAGCCUCCAAGCAUGCUCUUUGCAGGGGAUAAGUGCAGGUGUUCCAGGAAUGUUCCAGUGCAGCUGGAGGUGCAGAUCUUACCAAAGAGGCAUCCCUCCUUUGGGAGGAGAGAGAAGCCAGGCUGUCUCUGGUCUGUAAAGGUGCUCAUAUUUUCAAUCACUGCUGGAUUCCUCACUGAAGGAUACAGAACUCAGAUAUGCUGUGCAUGUGAUGAAGAAAACAUAGUUCAAAAUUGCAUCCUGACGUAGAGGUUAGAAAAGCUGUUCUAAUACUUGUCUUUGUUUUCCACUGUCCAAACAAGAAAAAAAAUUAAAUUUAUUUUCCUCAUGCUGGGACAGUUUUGGAAGAGAAUAUCAUUCCAGCAGAACUACACUAAAAUACAUGACUGAUAAUCUUAUCUAUGUGUGGCAAACAUCUACAAAACAUAACAUUUUAUUUAUGUUAAGGCAGUGAAUUCUGCUGCUUAAUUAAUUCAGUAAAUAUGUUCUGGAAAAUUACAUGGGUCUUACGGCUGGGAGGAUGCUGUUAUUUAGAACAGGGUUAUCAGGACUGAGCCAUCCCUCACCCAAGGCUACAGCAGAGCACUUUCUGGUUUCUGGAAAAAAAUACUACUUCUUGUGUCCCUCAAAAAUACAGUAUUAUUUAAAAAUAAAUCAAAACACAAUGCAAAUUAUCCAUAACAAACCAAAAUAAAAUAAAACCAAAACAACCAAACCAAAAAAAACCCAACUAACCCCCAAACCACAGCAAACCUCUGAAUGAAUUGCAGCAUUACAUACUUAAUUAGACAUUACAGUUAUCCCCCAUACAUCUGGUCAAAUAAAGGAUCCCUGCUCUUUCAUGCUA